Molecule: ribosomal RNA, 161 nt
Filed under: Amaranthus spinosus
Lineage: Eukaryota; Viridiplantae; Streptophyta; Magnoliopsida; Caryophyllales; Amaranthaceae
Description: 5.8S ribosomal RNA
Rfam family: 5.8S ribosomal RNA
About the family: 5.8S ribosomal RNA (5.8S rRNA) is a component of the large subunit of the eukaryotic ribosome.
Source: RNAcentral
ACGACUCUCGGCAACGGAUAUCUUGGCUCUCGCAUCGAUGAAGAACGUAGCGAAAUGCGAUACUUGGUGUGAAUUGCAGAAUCCCGUGAACCAUCGAGUUUUUGAACGCAAGUUGCGCCCGAAGCCUUUGGCCAGGGCACGUCUGCCUGGGCGUCACGCAA